This 493-nucleotide ribosomal RNA is filed under the name uncultured bacterium. RNAcentral's name for it is "partial 16S ribosomal RNA". It matches the Rfam family "Bacterial small subunit ribosomal RNA", at positions 29 to 523 of the family's 1533-position model. The record is from RNAcentral.
AUUGAACGCUGGCGGCAUACUUUACACAUGCAGGUCGAACGGUAACAGGUUAAGCUGACGAGUGGCGAACGGGUGAGUAAUGCAUCGGAACGUGCCCGGUCGUGGGGGAUAACGCAGCGAAAGCUGCGCUAAUACCGCAUACGAUCUGAGGAUGAAAGCGGGGGACCGUAAGGCCUCGCGCGAUCGGAGCGGCCGAUGUCAGAUUAGGUAGUUGGUGAGGUAAAGGCGCACCAAGCCAACGAUCUGUAGCUGGUCUGAGAGGACGACCAGCCACACUGGGACUGAGACACGGCCCAGACUCCUACGGGAGGCAGCAGUGGGGAAUUUUGGACAAUGGGCGAAAGCCUGAUCCAGCAAUGCCGCGUGCAGGAAGAAGGCCUUCGGGUUGUAAACUGCUUUUGUACGGAGCGAAAAGGCUCUCUCUAAUACAGGGGGCUCAUGACGGUACCGUAAGAAUAAGCACCGGCUAACUACGUGCCAGCCGCCGCGGUAA